RNAcentral lists this transfer RNA (75 nucleotides) under Nitrososphaeria archaeon. RNAcentral describes it as "tRNA-Thr". It matches the Rfam family "tRNA". From Rfam's summary of the family: Transfer RNA (tRNA) molecules are approximately 80 nucleotides in length. Their secondary structure includes four short double-helical elements and three loops (D, anti-codon, and T loops). Lineage: Archaea; Thermoproteati; Nitrososphaerota; Nitrososphaeria. The record is from RNAcentral.
GCCUCGGUGGCCUAGUGGUAAGGCGGCUGCCUCGUAAGCAGCAGAUCGCGGGUUCAAAUCCCGCCCGGGGCUCCA